UACGUAGGUGGCAAGCGUUGUCCGGAUUUACUGGGCGUAAAGCGUGCGCAGGCGGUGAUGUAAGACAGAUGUGAAAUCCCCGGGCUCAACCUGGGAACUGCAUUUGUGACUGCAUCGCUGGAGUGCGGCAGAGGGGGAUGGAAUUCCGCGUGUAGCAGUGAAAUGCGUAGAUAUGCGGAGGAACACCGGUGGCGAAGGCGGUCUGCUGGGCAGUUGCUGACACUGAGGCGCGACAGCGUGGGGAGCAAACAGG
RNAcentral lists this ribosomal RNA (253 nucleotides) under uncultured bacterium. RNAcentral's name for it is "partial 16S ribosomal RNA". It matches the Rfam family "Bacterial small subunit ribosomal RNA", at positions 524 to 776 of the family's 1533-position model. The record is from RNAcentral.